GUGGGGAAUCUUGCGCAAUGGACGAAAGUCUGACGCAGCGACGCCGCGUGAGUGAUGAAGGCCUUAGGGUCGUAAAGCUCUGUUGAAUGGGAAGAAAAAAAUGACGGUACCAUUCGAGGAAGGACCGGCUAACUUCGUGCCAGCAGCCGCGGUAAUACGAGGGGUCCUAGCGUUGUUCGGAAUCAUUGGGCGUAAAGGGUGUGUAGGUGGCCAUGUAAGUCAGGUGUGAAAGCCCCGGGCUCAACCCGGGAAGUGCACUUGAUACUGCGUGGCUUGAGUACCGAAGAGGGUAGUGGAAUUCCAGGUGUAGUGGUGAAAUACGUAGAUAUCUGGAGGAACACCGGUGGCGAAGGCGGCUACCUGGUCGAGUACUGACACUGAGACACGAAAGCAUGGGGAUCAAACAGGAUUAGAAACCCCGGUAGUCC
This 428-nucleotide ribosomal RNA is filed under the name uncultured bacterium. RNAcentral describes it as "partial 16S ribosomal RNA". It matches the Rfam family "Bacterial small subunit ribosomal RNA", at positions 354 to 796 of the family's 1533-position model. The record is from RNAcentral.